UUUUUUGUGCGAGUUCAAUUCAUUUUUUGUGCGAGUUCAAUUCAUUUUUUUUGUGCGAGUUAAAUUCAUUUUUUUGUGGAGUUCAAUUCAGUUUUUUGUGCGAGUUCAAUUCAUUUUUUUGUGCGAGUUCAAUUCAUUUUUUUGUGCGAGUUCAAUUCGUUUUUUUUUGUCGACCUCAAUUCAUUUUUUUUGUGGGAGUUUAAUUCAUUUUUUUGUGCGAGUUUAAUUCAUUUUUUUAUGCGAGUUCAAUUCAUUUUUUUGUGCGAAUUCAAUUUAUUUUUCUGCGAGUUCAAUUUAUUUCAAUAGUUAUAACAUAUUGCCACGGUGUUGUAUCUCAAUGUUAUGAAUAUAACUAAUUUUGCCCGGAAUGCCAUAACUUGACCCAGUUAUUUAUUUAUUGUUAUAGGAUUUUUGUUGGUGCACCACUUGGAACCGCAGGAUUUCGCAAUGUUGAUUAUGGAAAUUUGAUGGAAUGUGUGAUUAACAAGCAAAGUUGUAACGUUUUCGCAAUUGAUAGGCGCGUCUGUAAGUAAAACAAGACCUGCCAAGCAAAGCAGGCAUUUGUUCGAAACACUCAGGGGUGGUUGAAUAAAACCCCUUAGAUUGAUUGAAUAAUUAAGUUCAAUGCAUCAGCCAUGCAAUCACUUUCAACUUAAAAAUAGACCGGAAGCUAUUUUUCAGUUUUGUACAAACAAUCGAUCAUGUUUUUGUUGUUAGUUUGGUGGGGUUUCCGAAUGACAAAUGUAGAGUCUGGAAGUGGUUAUUUAACCACUUGCAGGAGCAAGGAUACCCUGUGAAGUAUGCAAAGCAUAUAAGAAAAUUUAUGAAAAAUACUUGUCUAACUUCUGUAAUAUAUCCUACGUCUUGUUAUAGGGAAAUGAAAAAUACAUUCACAUCCGAAGUCGUACGAUAUGUAUUGAAAAUUAGGUGCAGAUCGGCAGCUCAAGAUUGCUAGAUUAGCAUGUCAUUUUUAUUGAAUUGUGUAUUUGUCUGUAUAUUUCUAUUUUAGCACUUUUUCAUGCGAGAAGACUAGAACAUAGGCAAUUUGAGGGCGGCCUAAGGGAAUUGUGCAACCAUUGAAAAUGCUCAAAACUACCCCAAACUUCCCCGGUGAUAUGGUCAUCUUCCUCAAACAGGAUUUUUUCCCGCAAUCUGUAAGAAUGAUUCUAAAUUGAUGCGUUAUAUUAACAUUGUGCAGAAAUCAGUUGUAUCGAGUGAGAUGUUGAGUAUACAGUAUUAUUAUUGUCCGUGUGUAUUUAUAUAAAGUAAUGGAAGUGGGAAAAAGUGCCAAAAUAUAUAACAGGAAUGUAAUCGUUCAUGAAUUUCGAAUUUUCUCAUACAGAACUAUAUAUUUCCCUUCACCCUACGUAAUAAACUUUGUAAAAUAUAGGAGUAAAUACACAUAUUUAGUAUGAAAUGUAAAUGAUUCUUGCGAUUUAGAUCCCUGUGGCCGCACAUAGGCAUUGAUUUUUACUAUAAUGUCCCACAAUAUUACACUAUAUAAUAGCGUGAGGCCGUUAAUUGAUACAGGAAAAACCGAUGUUUUUUGAAAACUGAUUCAACUUCAUGUAAUGUUGUUGAAAUGUCACAUGUUGCUAGUUCGGCAAAAGAUCAAUCUUUGGAUAUUUCUAUUUUUCGACCUACAACAUUCUUAAAUUUCGGAGUACAGUAAUCAUAAAGUACUUUCAUAGUUGUUUGUAAUAGAUUCAUCACAGCGCAUCAUAUGCUUUCACUUUGAACGAUGUUCUUUGAACGAUCUUCGGUAUAUUCUUAGUAAAUUCUUUAAAUUCUGCCUAUUUUAACCUUAAUUUCCUUAUAUAAACGAGAUUUUUAUGCCUUAAUGUCUCAAGCUUUACGUCAUUCCAGCCAACACCCAAGCUGAAUUGAAUUCAAUACAUACAAAAUUUGACGUUUGAAAUGGACAUUGAGUUUUGCAUGUAGUUUGCUCGAAUAUGAUGUAAAUUGUAUUUGACCAACGCAAAAUUCGAUAUUUGAACCAGGCCGAAGGUUUGUUAAAAUCCAGCCAAAUGAAAGUUCACUGUUAAGUAGCUUAAAACAAUUCUAUAUGCUUUAUAGCGAAAUCACAUGAAUUUCGAACAAAGCAAUGGUUAGGAGCCACUGUCUACUCUAAUGGUGAUGGAAGAGUAGUCGU
Molecule: non-coding RNA, 2152 nt
Organism: Paramuricea clavata
Lineage: Eukaryota; Metazoa; Cnidaria; Anthozoa; Malacalcyonacea; Plexauridae
Source: the annotation of a GenBank genome assembly